This 359-nucleotide long non-coding RNA is filed under the name Vigna radiata. RNAcentral describes it as "long non-coding RNA (VRAD_LNC012948)". Lineage: Eukaryota; Viridiplantae; Streptophyta; Magnoliopsida; Fabales; Fabaceae. The record is from RNAcentral.
AAGUGAUGAGAGAGCCUUGGAAGAGUGUUUGAAAGUGAAAGAGAGGUUGGGGAUCUGGGAGUGGACACUUGGGCGAGCCCUAAGGAGUAUAAAAAUUGUGCAAUGGGCCAAGAAAGCUAACCCAACUUUAAAAACCACUUCAACCCUCAACGACGCCACCGCUCAACAGUGAGUUCACCGCCCGAUGGUGGGCGCGAGUUGGCUUUUUUCCCCUUUUUGCUUUGCUUCAAACAUCUUUGACCUUGUAACCCUCAAUUUCAACUUUCAAAUUUUAAUUUUCAUGCAAUUCCCACUCACUUUGCUAACUUAUGCAAUAAUUAAACCCUAAAUGCAACUAGAACAAUAUUAACAUAAGCAAC